Molecule: ribosomal RNA, 253 nt
Filed under: uncultured bacterium
Lineage: Bacteria
Description: partial 16S ribosomal RNA
Rfam family: Bacterial small subunit ribosomal RNA
Source: RNAcentral
UACGUAGGGGGCAAGCGUUGUCCGGAUUUAUUGGGCGUAAAGAGCGUGUAGGCGGCUUUACAGGUCCGUUGUGAAAACUCGAGGCUCAACCUCGAGACGCCGGUGGAAACCGUAAAGCUAGAGUCCGGAAGAGGAGAGUGGAAUUCCUGGUGUAGCGGUGAAAUGCGUAGAUAUCUGGAGGAACACCGGUGGCGAAAGCGCGAGACUGGGCCAUAACUGACGCUGAGGAACGAAAGCCAGGGGAGCGAAAGGG